RNAcentral lists this microRNA (21 nucleotides) under Mus musculus (house mouse). RNAcentral describes it as "mmu-miR-6394". Lineage: Eukaryota; Metazoa; Chordata; Mammalia; Rodentia; Muridae. The record is from miRBase by way of RNAcentral.
UCCCUGAGUGGGGCCAGGUCU